UGCAAGUCGAACGCUUCUUUUUCCCCGGAGCUUGCUCCACCGGAAAAAGAGGAGUGGCGAACGGGUGAGUAACACGUGGGUAACCUGCCCAUCAGAAGGGGAUAACACUUGGAAACAGGUGCUAAUACCGUAUAACAAUCGAAACCGCAUGGUUUUGAUUUGAAAGGCGCUUUCGGGUGUCGCUGAUGGAUGGACCCGCGGUGCACUAGCUAGUUGGUGAGGUAACGGCUCACCAAGGCCACGAUGCAUAGCCGACCUGAGAGGGUGAUCGGCCACAUUGGGACUGAGACACGGCCCAAACUCCUACGGGAGGCAGCAGUAGGGAAUCUUCGGCAAUGGACGAAAGUCUGACCGAGCAACGCCGCGUGAGUGAAGAAGGUUUUCGGAUCGUAAAACUCUGUUGUUAGAGAAGAACAAGGAUGAGAGUAACUGUUCAUCCCUUGACGGUAUCUAACCAGAAAGCCACGGCUAACUACGUGCCAGCAGCCGCGGUAAUACGUAGGUGGCAAGCGUUGUCCGGAUUUAUUGGGCGUAAAGCGAGCGCAGGCGGUUUCUUAAGUCUGAUGUGAAAGCCCCCGGCUCAACCGGGGAGGGUCAUUGGAAACUGGGAGACUUGAGUGCAGAAGAGGAGAGUGGAAUUCCUGUGUAGCGGUGAAUGCGU
This 661-nucleotide ribosomal RNA is filed under the name uncultured bacterium. RNAcentral's name for it is "bacterial SSU rRNA". It matches the Rfam family "Bacterial small subunit ribosomal RNA", at positions 56 to 691 of the family's 1533-position model. The record is from RNAcentral.